GAGUAAUAUACAAGAAUUUGCCCAGUAGUGGGGAAUAACAAUUAGAAAUAGUUGCUAAUACCGCAUAAGCCCGAGAGGGGAAAGGUUUUAAUCGCUAUUGGAGAAGCUUGUAUCCGAUUAGUUUGUUGGUGGGGUAAAUGCCUACCAAGGCUAAGAUCGGUAGCCGGUCUGAGAGGAUGAUCGGCCACAUUGGGACUGAGACACGGCCCAAACUCCUACGGGAGGCAGCAGUAGGGAAUAUUGGACAAUGGGCGAAAGCCUGAUCCAGCAAUGCCGCGUGAGUGAUGAAGGUGUAAUGCAUUGUAAAACUCUUUUAUUGGGGAAGAUAAUGACGGUACCCAAAGAAUAAGCACCGACUAACUAUGUGCCAGCAGUCGCGGUAAUACAUAGGGUGCGAGCGUUGCUCGGAAUCACUGGGCGUAAAGAACAUGUAGGAGGACUUUUAAGUCAUUAGUGCAAUCCCAAGGCUCAACCUUGGAACUGCUAAUGAUACUAUCAGUCUUGAGUAAGAUAGAGGACAGUAGAAUUCUUAGUGUAGGGGUUAAAUCCAUAGAUAUUAAGAGGAAUACCGAAAGCGAAAGCAGCUGUCUAGGUCUUUACUGACUCUAAAGUGUGAAAGCGUGGGGAUCAAACAGGAUUAGAUACCCUGGUAGUCCACGCCCUAAACGAUGAGUGCUAGGUGUCUGAAUUUCGAUUUGGGCGCUACAGCUAACGCGUUAAGCACUCCGCCUGGGAAUUACGGUCGCAAGACUAAAACUUAAACGGAAUUGACGGGGAUCCGCACAAGCGGUGGAGCAUGUGGUUUAAUUCGACUCUAAACGAAGAACCUUACCAGUUUUUGACAUGUUACCUUAAGUCUGACCAGAGAUGGCAGAUGUGAGCAAUCUAGGUAAUGCAGGUGAUGCAUGGCUGUCGUCAGCUCGUGCCGUGAGGUGUUUGGUUAAGUCCUUUAACGAGCGCAACCCUUAUCCAUAUUUGCCAGCGAGUUAUGUCGGGGACUAUAUGGAGACUGCCUGUGAUAAGCAGGAGGAAGGCGAGGAUGAUGUCAAGUCAUCAUGUCCCUUAUAGACUGGGCUACACACGUGCUACAAUGGCAACUACAACGAGUCGCAACACUGUGAAGUGAAGCUAAUCUCUUAAAAGUUGCCUCAGUUCAGAUUGCAGUCUGCAACUCGACUGCAUGAAGUUGGAAUCGCUAGUAAUCGUGAAUCAGAAUGUCGCGGUGAAUACGUUCUCGGAUCUUGUACACACU
Molecule: ribosomal RNA, 1252 nt
Filed under: uncultured bacterium
Lineage: Bacteria
Description: bacterial SSU rRNA
Rfam family: Bacterial small subunit ribosomal RNA
Source: RNAcentral